This 374-nucleotide ribosomal RNA is filed under the name uncultured organism. RNAcentral's name for it is "partial 16S ribosomal RNA". It matches the Rfam family "Bacterial small subunit ribosomal RNA", at positions 527 to 896 of the family's 1533-position model. The record is from RNAcentral.
GUAGGUGGCAAGCGUUAUCCGGAACUAUUGGGCGUAAAGCGCGCGCAGGUGGUUCUUUAAGUCUGAUGUGAAAGCCCCCGGCUCAACCGGGGAGGGUCAUUGGAAACUGGGGAACUUGAGUGCAGGAGAGGAAAGUGGAAUUCCACGUGUAGCGGUGAAAUGCGUAGAUAUGUGGAGGAACACCAGUGGCGAAGGCGACUUUCUGGCCUGUAACUGACACUGAGGCGCGAAAGCGUGGGGAGCAAACAGGGAUUAGAUACCCUGGUAGUCCACGCCGUAAACGAUGAGUGCUAAGUGUUGGGGGGGUUUCCCGCCCCUCAGUGCUGCAGCUAACGCAUUAAGCACUCCGCCUGGGGAGUACGGUCGCAAGACUG